UACGUAGGGUGCGAGCGUUGUCCGGAAUUAUUGGGCGUAAAGGGCUCGUAGGCGGUCUGUUGCGUCGGGAGUGAAAACUCGGGGCUUAACCCCGAGCCUGCUUCUGAUACGGGCAGACUAGAGGUAUGCAGGGGAGAACGGAAUUCCUGGUGUAGCGGUGAAAUGCGCAGAUAUCAGGAGGAACACCGGUGGCGAAGGCGGUUCUCUGGGCAUUACCUGACGCUGAGGAGCGAAAGUGUGGGGAGCGAACAGG
This 253-nucleotide ribosomal RNA is filed under the name uncultured bacterium. Its description in RNAcentral is "partial 16S ribosomal RNA". It matches the Rfam family "Bacterial small subunit ribosomal RNA", at positions 524 to 776 of the family's 1533-position model. The record is from RNAcentral.